Molecule: ribosomal RNA, 495 nt
Filed under: uncultured bacterium
Lineage: Bacteria
Description: partial 16S ribosomal RNA
Rfam family: Bacterial small subunit ribosomal RNA
Source: RNAcentral
GACGAACGCUGGCGGCGUGCCUAAUACAUGCAAGUAGAACGCUGAAGGAGGAGCUUGCUUCUCUGGAUGAGUUGCGAACGGGUGAGUAACGCGUAGGUAACCUGCCUGGUAGCGGGGGAUAACUAUUGGAAACGAUAGCUAAUACCGCAUAAGAGUAGAUGUUGCAUGACAUUUGCUUAAAAGGUGCAAUUGCAUCACUACCAGAUGGACCUGCGUUGUAUUAGCUAGUUGGUGGGGUAACGGCUCACCAAGGCGACGAUACAUAGCCGACCUGAGAGGGGGGUCGGCCACACUGGGACUGAGACACGGCCCAGACUCCUACGGGAGGCAGCAGUAGGGAAUCUUCGGCAAUAGACGGAAGUCUGACCGAGCAACGCCGCGUGAGUGAAGAAGGUUUUCGGAUCGUAAAGCUCUGUUGUAAGAGAAGAACGAGUGUGAGAGUGGAAAGUUCACACUGUGACGGUAUCUUACCAGAAAGGGACGGCUAACUACGUG